AUGUUUUCAAAAUCUUCAUCUGAGCUACCUGCCUGCUAAACCUUACACCUUUCCAUUUUAGAUUCCUCUGAAGAGUUUCCAGCUGAUGCCUGGCUGUAACACUGUGACGGCUCCUACACCCGAGACCAGGGAGUGAGGCGGGAGGGCCAGGAGAAGGCCUUGCUGUUUGUUUUUGUGGCCACCGGGUGUCAUCCUAGGAGCAGGCUUUGGCCCGCCUGGGAGCACCACUAUGGCAGCAGCACUGGAGGCUUCACAAAGUGGAAUCAGCAGAAAGAAACUGGGUUUCUGAGAGAACAUGCUGUAGCUGUGCUGACCUGUUCCUGGCAAGCAACCAAGGAGUGCAGAGGUGGUGGCCAUCAUCAGUGUGGUGUGGCCCCACCGAAGAGUCUGCCCUUUGAGAAACUAAUUCUGAUCCCCAUCCCGCUAAGUACAUUCCCAUCAGCAGCAUGAACCACAAAUAGUGCCCAGCAAUUGGUGAGCAGCAGAUGCCCGAACACCACGUUUCUCAUCUCCUUUCAAUACCCCUGACUCAUGCAUCCUGUCUGAGCUAAUGUUAUUUUCCUGACUGCAGUGUGUCUGCACCCUUGGACUCUCCACAAGGGCCCAAGCCAUCCCAGAAAGCUCACUCUUCCUCUCUAGACUUCAGCUUCACUGUGCUUUUGGAGACUGUCACUCAAAGCUACCUUGCUAUGCCAAUUCACAUCCGGAAUCUGUGAAUUUACACUGGUAUAUCAGUCCCCUGCUUUUCCUCUAAUUUUAAAAUAAUUCUAGGCCAUCGCAUA
Molecule: long non-coding RNA, 782 nt
Organism: Tyto alba (common barn owl)
Lineage: Eukaryota; Metazoa; Chordata; Aves; Strigiformes; Tytonidae
Exons: 5
Source: RefSeq, a predicted model, not a curated record